Molecule: long non-coding RNA, 9058 nt
Filed under: Ananas comosus (pineapple)
Lineage: Eukaryota; Viridiplantae; Streptophyta; Magnoliopsida; Poales; Bromeliaceae
Description: long non-coding RNA (ACOM_LNC003287)
Source: RNAcentral
CUUUUCUUAUACCCCUAAGGAGCCGACUCAGGGUGCUGCUAUCUGGUCUCUGUGGUAGGGCGCUAACUACGGAGCUACGCCCUUUCCUCGCGCCGCCGCGCCGCUCGCGUGUGAACCUGUACCCCCAAAAACAACAACACGGGGGUGAGACUAUUGUCCAUAGUCGUCAGUGGGUACAGCCACCCAAGGGAAAAGCUCAACCCACCAGGUCCAAAGGAGGCACUGCAACAUGUUAGUCCAACAGAUAUAUACAUAUAACAUCAUGCAAUACAUGUUCAUGCCUCACAAAUAUGCAAAUUAUGCAACUCUUAGUCAUUCUUUACCAUUAGCCUUUCUUUAGAAUUUGCUAUUCUUUAUCAUUAGCCAUUCUUUACUCUUUAUUCUUUAUUCUUUAUUCUUUAUUCUUUAUUCUUUAUUCUUUAUUCUUUAUUCUUUAUUCUUUAUUCUUUAUUCUUUAUUCUUUAUUCUUUAUUCUUUAUUCUUUAUUCUUUAUUCUUUAUUCUUUAUUCUUUAUUCUUUAUUCUUUAUUCUUUAUUCUUUAUUCUUUAUUCUUUAUUCUUUAUUCUUUAUUCUUUAUUCUUUAUUCUUUAUUCUUUAUUCUUUAUUCUUUAUUCUUUAUUCUUUAUUCUUUAUUCUUUAUUCUUUAUUCUUUAUUCUUUAUUCUUUAUUCUUUAUUCUUUAUUCUUUAUUCUUUAUUCUUUAUUCUUUAUUCUUUAUUCUUUAUUCUUUAUUCUUUAUUCUUUAUUCUUUAUUCUUUAUUCUUUAUUCUUUAUUCUUUAUUCUUUAUUCUUUAUUCUUUAUUCUUUAUUCUUUAUUCUUUAUUCUUUAUUCUUUAUUCUUUAUUCUUUAUUCUUUAUUCUUUAUUCUUUAUUCUUUAUUCUUUAUUCUUUAUUCUUUGCUAAGGGCACUCGCACCUUAGGCGCAUUAUACACAUUUGCCAUUCUUUAUAACAUUAACAAACGUUUCUCAAUUGUCAUUCUUUCUCAAUUGUCAUUCUUUCACAGGGUUACCUUUACCCUAGCCAACUAUGCCACUCGACUCGGUCUUGAGUCAAUUCAUAAUGAAUACAAGAUCCACUUUCCAAUUCAUGAUUCCUUUUUGUUCUUUGUUCUUUAAUCUCACGGCUAACCCGGGGGUUUCGCCACAUUAACUUGCUUCACAUUAAGUCCAUCAUCGCAGGAACUCACCAGCUAGGACCGUCCUUACGGGUCUACUCCAACCCGGAUGCCAAACUCCGGAGCGCAUCGCCCGAGGGGGAGCGACCGCCCUCGAGCACGGAACUCAUAGCAAGUAUGAUCAUAUCCUUAACUCAAAGGAUUUGUAGUUGAAUCAUGGCUUUACACUAACUUUAGUGUUCUUUACAUCACAUUAGUUGCUAACUCUAGCAAUCAUUGUUCUUUACACCCCACUUGUCAAUUACUCUAGUAAUUGUCAUUCUUGAUACCACACUUGUUCUUUUGUUGCCACACACUAACUCUAGUGUGCUUCAUGUCACAUUGGUUGCUAACUCUAGCCAUUAUCAUUGUUCUUUACACUUUGCUUGUUCUUUAUGCCACAUUACUUUACAUCGCCUUUAGCCAUUAUCAUUAUUCUUUACAUCACAUUGCUUUGCCUUGUCUCAAGCCAUUAUCAUUAGGUUCUCACAUUACAUCUCAUGCAUACACAUAGAUUAUUUAGAUUCUUAAUCAUUCUAAUAAGCACGUGUACUCACAUCAUGCAACAUUACAUUAUUAUCAUCACAUUGUUUUACAUUAUCUUUAGCCAUUAUCAUUAUUCUUUACAUCACAUUUAUUCUUUGUUGUCCCACACUAACUCUAGUGUCCACUUUACCAUUUCGAAUGCCACUCGAUCUAUGUUCAACAUGCAUAUAUUUUGUCAUCCAUUGGUAGUCAUUACUUAGCAUUUUAUGCAUUCGUUAACAUUUACUACAUGCAUUCUCGGUUAGUACAAAUCUCAUACUUUCAUUUGACAUCUAUUUAGCAUUUCUAUAAUAUGCACAUGUAAAUUAACAUCAACUCAUGCAUUCAUUUGGCAUCUAUCUUUAUCAUGCAUUCUUAAAUAGCAUACUUUAUCAUGCAUUCUCAAAUAGCAUACUUUAUCAUGCAUCAAUAGUAAACAUACUACACUUUGGCAUGGAAAGCGACCUAAUCGCUUCGGUGAGCACAACCCACCUCAAAACGCUUUCCGAUUGCUUGUCGACACUUGCAAUCGGCCUCCCGCGGCACCCGUAACCCGGUUUGGCCCGAACUCUUGCGCGACCACCCGAACGGCCACCAAUUCGCGAUCCGUCUGUUCGGGAGUUUAUUCCCCGACACCACGAUGCUCCCGAUCCAUUCUCAUGAUUUUUGGAGGCUUAUCCCGCGUGCUGCGGCUAUCUGUACCAAAACAGAUUGUUUCGUCAAUAACUUUGCGUACACUCGUCGGAUUGUCGAACCGAGCGCACCAACGCGUUCGUUAUACCCCCAAUUAGGUUUAUAGAGGGUCAAUUGAGAUCAAACUCAACUAUUUACAAAAACCCUCUUUAGGAGCCCUAAUAUGCAACUAUUGCAAAAUCCACCAUUUCAUCUCAUGAAUCAAGCAUAAACCAUCUAUUUAGCAUGCUAGGAUUCCAUUAAAAUCAUCUUUAGAGUAUAAGAACUUAACCCUAAAGAUCUACCAUUAGAGAGCAUAAGGCUUACCUCUCUAAGCUUGCUCCCAUGGCUCAAGGAAGGAGAUGAAGAUGAAGCUCCAUCUUCUUGGCCUCUUCUCCUUCAUCUUCUUCUUUUUCUUCUCUUUCUUUCUCUUCUUCUCCUUCUUUUCUUUCUAGAGAGAGAGAGGGAGAGGUUUUGGUGUGGGAGAGUGAGAGAAAUGAGAGAAAGAGAGAAAGGGUCCUCUCUAUACACUCUCAUAAGUGCCAUUUUGCACUUAAGCCCCUCCACAAUGCUUCCCUCGCAACAGCCCAAACUGGGCAUUUUCGGGCUUCGGGGACCGGUCCUUGCGAUGAGAGACCGGUCCCUGAGAGACCGGUCCUUGGCUGAGAGACCGGUCCCCGAAGGUCCAGAAAUCAGCCUUCAAGGACUUAGCCAAAUUUUCCGCUUUUUCAUCGUUUUAGCUCCGUUUUCGCUCGUUUUUGCUCGUUUGACCUCCGAUUCAUUUCAAAUCGAACCGAGACUCUCCAAACAUGUUUUCGAACAUAUUUUCAUCAUCUUUUCACCCACGCUAAUGCCGGAUUUAACUCACGGUUCAACAUAGCCUUUCGGCUCCGUUUUCGCGCCCUAUGCGCACCGAAGCACCCGAAUGCUCCCGAACUUCGCCGGGACGAUUCCAAUGGCUUUCUAAGCUAACUUACAUCGUAACUUCGUGAAUUUAGAAGUUCGGUAUAUUACAUUCUCCACCCCUUAAAAGAAUUUCGUCCGCGAAAUUCAAACACAACUCGAUUCAGCUCCUCGAGCAAUUGAGGGCACCAAUACACUUUCCACUUCGGAAUGGCUUUACACUCCUUGGAACUAUCCAAAAGGACUACCACGGAGUUCAUGAUACUAAAUGCAUCCAAAUUUGCAAGGCGCAUCUCACAAAGUGCAUUAGGGUAUCCAUCACUCUUGGUGGCGGCGCAAGUCGAAACUCAACGACUCCACGCGCUCCAAUACCACUUGUCACUUGGCAUACAAGAACUCUUCUUCGCAUUUACUUUCCCCUCAGGGAAUACACUCCGAUUCUAUCUCCAACAUUGCUUAAAAGCAACAUCACUAGUGCAUCGCUUCACCGCGAGUGCUUUAAUUCCGCACCGAUCUUUAGCUCUAACAUGAGCCACCUCGGCACAUCCCAAAUCCAAUCCUCAAACUCCACGUGGCUUCUCACAAGUUCAAGGUCUCACCACGAGCACUUCAUCUUCUGAUACCAUAUGCCACGGCCAACGUCUUAUUACUUUCGCAAAGAGCUCACAUGAACACGUUAUUUGUGAACUCAAAUCAAACUCCCCGAUAAGGCUAUUCGCCAAAUCACUUUCCUCGACUUUCCACAGGUGGGCCAAAGGCCACCCAUACUACGUAGGCCUACAGCCUAAACCCGUCUCAAUACUCGACGUCCCUCGCUCGCAAGCGUAGACCCAAUCAUCGUUGGGGCGAAAUUCUCACUGGGAAAUUCGCACACACUCCAACCAGGAGCAACUAAAAUCCCAAACCGUUACAGAUUCCCGGGUUGGGUCACACUCGCACUCUCAGUAUACUAUCAAUCGCACUAUACGCUCUAUAGCACAAUACGUACCACUAUCAGCUCCUUUGCACCUAGUGCGAGCCACCAGCCCCACGAGUGAUCCGUGGCACGCUUCACACCUAGCAAUGCUCAGGUGCUACUGCCAACACACUCAUCCGGCUGAACUAAAUCCGCACUCCACGAGUAACUAUACUCGAGCGCUAUAUGCGCCUCUAUAGCAUUCCAACUAUGUCAAGCAUCAGGCAACUUUGCCUAUGCACACCGGCCACACGAGCACGACUCACCCACCUCAAUUCGAGAUACUACUAGGCCAACGCGCCCGUAUUUGGCAGCCAAUCGCUCUACCGGAGCAACAUCUAGAACACUCAAACCAUUCGAGUGUCCACAAGUGUCAUGACACAACUCUUGCAAUCAAUUACAUACAUUGCUCUGCAAGUUGGUUCGUCAUUUCCACCUCUACUACAAGUCUCAUCAUUAGACCAUCACUAGCAACUCGCUAGUACCAUCCAGUUCUCUACCUGCACCGGCAGGUGCAACGCUCUCACCACAUAAGCGUGCCCGGGUACUUACAUUUAUCCGCGCACUUGGAUCCUACUAUGCUACUACAUAAAUAGUAGUAAUUAAUUACAUGCUCAAUGCAUGCAAUGCACCAACUUUACAUUAUGCAGAAACACAUGACUGCAUUAAUGGCUCAUACCUGCCAUGACGUUGUCAGCAGCAGGUUCCAUAUCCCGGACAUAGUUCACGAUAGGGAGAAUUCCCGUUCGUACUCUCUAACUGAGCGGUCUCCUUGCCGCAGCUUCCUGAACUUGUCCUGAAGCUUUCUCUUUUCACUGUCGGGGGAAGUCAGUAGAAGAUACCAAUCCCCGAAACUCAUCCCAUGCCAUGGAGGAAUACUAGGUGAUCGGUUCCGCCGAAUGCCUUUCCACCACGCCUUAGCCGACUGUUUCAAACAAUACACGACUAGGGGUACCCUGUCCAGCUCCAAGGUAGACAGCUCCUCGAAAAGCGUUUCCACAGAGUCAAUCCACGUAUCCACAAUCCACGAAUCGACAUUCUCUCCAUCGAAGAUAGGUGGAUCAAACUUUAUGAAGGUCAUGAGGGCUGCCAAAGCCCGCUCUUUCUCAUUCUUUUCCUUUCCUUCCUCUCUCUUUCUUUGUCCUCUAGAGAGAGAAAGAGAAGUGAGAGAGUGUGAGGGUGAGGAUGAGAAAAUAUCUCAUUCACCCAUCAUACUCAGCCUAUUCAUUGCAAAAUUGCAACUAAGUCUCUCAACUUUUAUUUCACAACACUGCCCAAACUGGGCAGACUUCGGGCUCUGAGACCGGUCUCCCCGACCAUGGGACCGGUUCCUGAGAGCUCUCCCCGCGGCAGCAGAGCUCGUGCGCAAUGCAACCGCUCUCCCCUGGUGAGACCGGUCUCUCGGGGACCGGUCUGUCCCCUUGGGACCGGUUCCCGAGAGCUGCGUUUCCAAGACUUAGCCAAAUCUUCAGUUCCCAGACUCCACACGCGCUCGGGGACCGGUCUCCCCGACUUGGGACCGGUCCCUGAGAGCUGAAAACCUGCAGCUUUGCAGAUUUUCAAUUCCAACGCUCUCGAAGACCUCUCCGAGGCACUUUUACUCAUUUUGACGUCCUCGGCCUCUCCGAAGCACACCCAUUUCAUACUUUGGUCACUUUGACUAAAGUUCGAUAUUUCGACCACCGAGUUUCGAUAUAUUACAUCUACAAUUUUUUUUUUGGAGUCUCUUAAUUCCCUCCCCUUGGUGCAUAGCAGCCUCUUGCGGCCGCUGCACCACAUCAGCUUGUUGCCUCACCACACCCACAAGCGUGGCCAACUGUUCGCGAAGUUCCAAGUCUCCGCGCGCCUCGGAUUGCUCAGGGACAUCACUUGUCCCACCCCGCGUCGAUCUAAACGAAGAUCGCCUACGCGGUGCCAUCGUUACCUAGAACAUGACAACUCAACUAACUCUCAACCUUCUAGGUCGAGUAUGAAACAAUUGACACCAACUCAAAUCGGGCGAAAGUCAUACAAGGGCAUCUAUUCUCAUCACUCGGUUUCAUGUUGUACGCGUCCAACAUGAACACCCUCGGUUGAGAAUAGACAACACCUUGGAUCUACCUCUAAUCUCCUUUUUAGAGGUUUACAACACAACCCAAUCCCUUAACCUUUCGCCAAAAGUCAUAAGUCCUCGUCUCUCACGAGCCUUAAUCUCCUAUGGUUUACUAUCCUAGGGUCUCCUAGGUUCAUCUAAACCACUUUUCCAUUCUCUACUUUAUGCUCUGAUACCAUCUUAUCUGUCACGCCCCGAGCCCGCCUCUUUGGUCGGAUUCGGGCACGCCAACAGACCGCCGAACGGACAGGGUUUCCCCUACACGCGGACAGAGUCUCCCCUGUACGUUCAAGGCGUCGCAAUCAAUACAAUUACAAGAGGUUCCAAACAGGAACAAUUUUCAACAACGAUUGCAUAAGGAAGGUAUCAAACAACAUAACACAUCCUAUAUUAUUACAAUCAUUCAUCUCAUCAUUUUACAUCGCAUUUUUCAUUACAUUGAUUCUCAACUUCCAAAUAUACAAUCGAUUUCUUUUCUUUUCUUUUCUUAUACCCCUAAGGAGCCGACUCAGGGUACUGCUAUCUGGUCUCUGUGGUAGGGCGCUAACUACGGAGCUACGCCCUUUCCUCGCGCCGCCGCGCCGCUCGCGUGUGAACCUGUACCCCCAAAAACAACAACACGGAGGUGAGACUAUUGUCCAUAGUCGUCAGUGGGUACAGCCACCCAAGGGAAGAGCUCAACCCACCAGGUCCAAAGGAGGCACUGCAACAUGUUAGUCCAACAGAUAUAUACAUAUAACAUCAUGCAAUACAUGUUCAUGCCUCACAAAUAUGCAAAUUAUGCAACUCUUAGUCAUUCUUUACCAUUAGCCUUUCUUUAGAAUAUGCAAUUCUUUAUCAUUAGCCAUUCUUUAUUCUUUAUUCUUUGCUAAGGGCACUCGCACCUUAGGCCCAUUAUACACAUUUGCCAUUCUUUAUAACAUUAACAAACGUUUCUCAAUUGUCAUUCUUACUCAAUUGUCAUUCUUUCACAGGGUUACCUUUACCCUAGCCAGCUAUGCCACUCGACUCGGUCUUGAGUCAAUUCAUAAUGAAUACAAGAUCCACUUUCCAAUCCAUGAUUCCUUUUUGUUCUUUGUUCUUUAAUCUCACGGCUAACCCGGGGGUUUCGCCACAUUAACUUGCUUCACAUUAAGUCCAUCAUCGCAGGAACUCACCAGCUAGGACCGUCCUUCGGGUUUACUCCAACCCGUGAUGCAAAACUCCGGAGCGCAUCGCCCGAGGGGGAGCGACCGCCCUCGAGCACGGAACUCAUAGCAAGUAUGAUCAUAUCCUUAACUCAAAGGAUUUGUAGUUGAAUCAUGGCUUUACACUAACUUUAGUGUUCUUUACAUCACAUUAGUUGCUAACUCUAGCAAUCAUUGUUCUUUACACCCAACUUGUCAAUUACUCUAGUAAUUGUCAUUCUUGAUACCACACUUGUUCUUUUGUUGCCUCACACUAACUCUAGUGUGCUUCAUGUCACAUUGGUUGCUAACUCUAGCCAUUAUCAUCGUUCUUUACACUUUGCUUGUUCUUUAUGCCACAUUACUUUACAUCGCCUCAAGCCAUUAUCAUUAUUCUUUACAUCACAUUGCUUUGCCUUGUCUCAAGCCAUUAUCAUUAGGUUCUCACAUUACAUCUCCUGCAUACACAUAGAUUAUUUAGAUUCUUAAUCAUUCUAAUAAGCACGUGUACUCACAUCAUGCAACAUUACAUUAUUAUCAUCACAUUGUUUUACAUUAUCUUUAGCCAUUAUCAUUAUUCUUUACAUCACAUUUAUUCUUUGUUGUGCCACACUAACUCUAGUGUCCACUUUACCAUUUCGAAUGCCACUCGAUCUAUGUUCAACAUGCAUAUAUUUUGUCAUCCAUUGGUAGUCAUUACUUAGCAUUUUAUGUAUUCGUUAACAUUUACUACAUGCAUUCUCGGUUAGUACAAAUCUCAUACUUUCAUUUGACAUCUAUUUAGCAUUUCUAUAAUAUGCACAUGUAAAUUAACAUCAACUCAUGCAUUCAUUUGGCAUCUAUCUUUAUCAUGCAUUCUUAAAUAGCAUACUUUAUCAUGCAUUCUCAAAUAGCAUAUUUUAUCAUGCAUCAAUAGUAAACAUACUACACUUUGGCAUGGAAAGCGACCUAAUCGCUUCGGUGAGCACAACCCACCUCAAAACGCUUUCUGAUUGCUUGUCGACACUUGCAAUCGGCCUCCCGCGGCACUCGUAGCCCGGUUUGGCCCGAACUCUUGCGCGACCACCCGAACGACCACCAAUUCGCGAUCCGUCUAUUCGGGAGUUUAUUCCCCGACACCACGAUGCUCCCGAUCCAUUCUCAUGAUUUUUGGAGGCUUAUCCCGCGUGCUGCGGCUAUCUGUACCAAAACAGAUUGUUUCGUCAAUAACUUCGCGUACACUCGUCGGAUUGUCGAACCGAGCGCACCAACGCGUUCGUUUGGUCCCCAAUUAGGUUUAUAGAGGGUCAAUUGAGAUCAAACCCAACUAUUUACAAAAACCCUCUUUAGGAGCCCUAAUAUGCAACUAUUGCAAAAUCCACCAUUUCAUCUCAUGAAUCAAGCAUAAACCAUCUAUUUAGCAUGCUAGGAUUCCAUUAAAAUCAUCUUUAGAGUAUAAGAACUUAACCCUAAAGAUCUACCAUUAGAGAGCAUAAGGCUUACCUCUCUAAGCUUGCUCCCAUGGCUCAAGGAAGGAGAUGAAGAUGAAGCUCCAUCUUCUUGGCCUCUUCUCCUUCAUCUUCUUCUUUUUCUUCUCUUUCUUUCUCUUCUU